AAAUAAAAUAGAUAAUCACAUAUAAAGUUACAGAGCUAAGAUGGGACAUAUGAUGGAAAUUCAUAGGCAACAAGAUCGGUGUGGCUUGAGACACCAAAGCUUUCUCAAGUCUGUCAUUACACUGGGAUGCCUGGGGGACUCAGUCGGUUAAAGAGUCGGUUAAACUCAGACUCUUGAUUUCCGCUCUGGUUGUGAUCUCAGGGUGGUGAGAUCCAGCCCCAGGGGCUCCGCGCUCAUCAUGGAAUCUGCCCGCAUAUUCUCUCCUUCUGCCCCUCCCCCCACUCACGCAGUGCUCUCUCGCACUCUCUCUCUAAAAUAAAUAAAUCUUUUUUCAAAAAAUCUGUAAGUACCCACCAACGACCUCAGAUUACAGGAGCUGGUCUGAUUCUCUCCACUUGUUAUGAGAAGAAUCUGUGAUCCGAAGCGGUGAUACCUGGCUCAAGACCACAGAAAUCACUCGUGGAAUCAACCAGCUCCUUCACCGCAGCUUCCAUGCCUGGCCUUCAUGAACCCCAAGGUUUUCUGAGCCAAAUUACCAUGCAUUUCCCCCAGUAAACCCACCAAGUCCUUUGCUCCUGAAAACUACCCUCAACUUUGCCAGCUACAAAUGUUUACCCGACCCCAAUCUCAGCUCUCCUCAGUUCCAAGGUUCCACUUUUGGAAAAACUAGUAGGCUAGGGGGUUGGCGUGGGGGACGAUUUGGGAGUCGCCAAAGCACUCACCAGAUCCACGAGGGGGCAAAAGAGAGCCAACGGACGGGCUGCCAUCCUUUCUCUGACUCCCAACCCCGGGAGGAAGUGGAGUAAGAGAGGAGAGGAGGCCCAACUUUGGGCUGGGAUGGGGAGGCAGGGGCCGAGGGAAGGGGAGGCCCCAAGAGCACGUCAACGGCUCCCCUCGCCCUCAGAUCCACGGUGCGAAGGGCCUCUGUCACCCCCACCGCUAGGCAGAGCGCGGUUAGGGCUGGAGUCUAGCCUCCGAGGCAUCUAGGCAUGGUGGAGACAUCAUUUCCUCUUUCUAUCAUCAUCUAUUCUAAUGGGAGGGAGAAGAGGAAGUGAAGACUCUUCCCAAGACCUAGGGAGAACUGCUCCAGUUCUUCUUUCCAGGGGGUUAGGGAGAGGCUAUAGAUAAAGCAGAUGGACCUGAAUGCAUGAAGACGCCUCCCUUCAGCCCAGUUAUCUGGGAUGCCUGUCCCUCCCGGCAUAAAAAGAGCUAUCUCCCCCCCACACACCCGCCCCACCUACCUCAGGUGCCCCCACGCCGAGGCAGCUCAUGCUGGGCUUUCUGUCAAACAAGGUGAGAGCAUGUUGAGAGAUGGAUAAGUCCAUCACUGGUCCAGACUAUGGGGGACCCAUGACGUCUCUGCCUACCCUAGCUGCCGGCGGGUACGGGCUGGCACUGGCUACAGAUGCAGGAGAGGAUGUCUGAAGCAUUGUUCUGGCGAAGGCUUGCAGAGGGCACAGAGCCUUGGGGAGAGAGGGGACAGCCAUGGGGGCUCUCGCCAGCCCCUGCCUGUUCAAAGUGUGUGUCCAUCUGACUCCCAUAAGGCCCUGGGCUUGCACUUGUAGGCACUUGCAGGAGCAGAGGACUUGUGGGGCUCCCUCUUUGAUACAGUCUGGCA
This is a long non-coding RNA of Ursus maritimus (polar bear), 1618 nucleotides long. NCBI's taxonomy places the organism in Eukaryota, Metazoa, Chordata, Mammalia, Carnivora, Ursidae. The record is from Ensembl.